UACGUAGGGGGCUUGCGUUGUCCGGAAUCAUUGGGCGUAAAGCGCGUGUAGGCGGCCCGGUAAGUCCGCUGUGAAAGUCGGGGGCUCAACCCUCGAAUGCCGGUGGAUACUGUCGGGCUCGAGUGCGGAAGAGGCGAGUGGAAUUCCUGGUGUAGCGGUGAAAUGCGCAGAUAUCAGGAGGAACACCAAUUGCGAAGGCAGCUCGCUGGGACGUUACUGACGCUGAGACGCGAAAGCGUGGGGAGCAAACAGG
This 253-nucleotide ribosomal RNA is filed under the name uncultured bacterium. Its description in RNAcentral is "partial 16S ribosomal RNA". It matches the Rfam family "Bacterial small subunit ribosomal RNA", at positions 524 to 776 of the family's 1533-position model. The record is from RNAcentral.